UACGGAGGGUGCAAGCGUUGUUCGGAAUCAUUGGGCGUAAAGCGCGUGUAGGCGGCUAUUUAAGUCUGAUGUGAAAGCCCGGGGCUUAACCCCGGAAGUGCAUUGGAUACUGAAUAGCUAGAGGGCGAGAGAGGAGAAUGGAAUUCCUGGUGUAGGGGUGAAAUCCGUAGAUAUCAGGAGGAACAUCAGAGGCGAAGGCGGUUCUCUGGCUCGUUUCUGACGCUGAGACGCGAAAGCGUGGGGAGCAAACAGG
RNAcentral lists this ribosomal RNA (253 nucleotides) under uncultured bacterium. Its description in RNAcentral is "partial 16S ribosomal RNA". It matches the Rfam family "Bacterial small subunit ribosomal RNA", at positions 524 to 776 of the family's 1533-position model. The record is from RNAcentral.